CAGGCUUAACACAUGCAAGUCGAGGGGCAGCAUGGUCUUAGCUUGCUAAGGCCGAUGGCGACCGGCGCACGGGUGAGUAACACGUAUCCAACCUGCCGUCUACUCUUGGACAGCCUUCUGAAAGGAAGAUUAAUACAAGAUGGCAUCAUGAGUCCGCAUGUUCACAUGAUUAAAGGUAUUCCGGUAGACGAUGGGGAUGCGUUCCAUUAGAUAGUAGGCGGGGUAACGGCCCACCUAGUCUUCGAUGGAUAGGGGUUCUGAGAGGAAGGUCCCCCACAUUGGAACUGAGACACGGUCCAAACUCCUACGGGAGGCAGCAGUGAGGAAUAUUGGUCAAUGGGCGAGAGCCUGAACCAGCCAAGUAGCGUGAAGGAUGACUGCCCUAUGGGUUGUAAACUUCUUUUAUAAAGGAAUAAAGUCGGGUAUGGAUACCCGUUUGCAUGUACUUUAUGAAUAAGGAUCGGCUAACUCCGUGCCAGCAGCCGCGGUAAUACGGAGGAUCCGAGCGUUAUCCGGAUUUAUUGGGUUUAAAGGGAGCGUAGAUGGAUGUUUAAGUCAGUUGUGAAAGUUUGCGGCUCAACCGUAAAAUUGCAGUUGAUACUGGAUAUCUUGAGUGCAGUUGAGGCAGGCGGAAUUCGUGGUGUAGCGGUGAAAUGCUUAGAUAUCACGAAGAACUCCGAUUGCGAAGGCAGCCUGCUAAGCUGCAACUGACAUUGAGGCUCGAAAGUGUGGGUAUCAAACAGGAUUAGAUACCCUGGUAGUCCACACGGUAAACGAUGAAUACUCGCUGUUUGCGAUAUACUGCAAGCGGCCAAGCGAAAGCGUUAAGUAUUCCACCUGGGGAGUACGCCGGCAACGGUGAAACUCAAAGGAAUUGACGGGGGCCCGCACAAGCGGAGGAACAUGUGGUUUAAUUCGAUGAUACGCGAGGAACCUUACCCGGGCUUAAAUUGCAGAUGAAUUACGGUGAAAGCCGUAAGCCGCAAGGCAUCUGUGAAGGUGCUGCAUGGUUGUCGUCAGCUCGUGCCGUGAGGUGUCGGCUUAAGUGCCAUAACGAGCGCAACCCUUGUUGUCAGUUACUAACAGGUUCCGCUGAGGACUCUGACAAGACUGCCAUCGUAAGAUGUGAGGAAGGUGGGGAUGACGUCAAAUCAGCACGGCCCUUACGUCCGGGGCUACACACGUGUUACAAUGGGGGGUACAGAGGGCCGCUACCACGCGAGUGGAUGCCAAUCCCCAAAACCUCUCUCAGUUCGGACUGGAGUCUGCAACCCGACUCCACGAAGCUGGAUUCGCUAGUAAUCGCGCAUCAGCCACGGCGCGGUGAAUACGUUCCCGGGCCUUGUACACACCGCCCGUCAAGUCAUGGGAGCCGGGGGUACCUGAAGUGCGUAACCGCGAGGAGCGCCCUAGGGUAAAACUGGUGACUGGGGCUAAG
This 1438-nucleotide ribosomal RNA is filed under the name uncultured organism. RNAcentral's name for it is "SSU rRNA". It matches the Rfam family "Bacterial small subunit ribosomal RNA". The record is from RNAcentral.